Molecule: ribosomal RNA, 678 nt
Filed under: bacterium IMCC11712-1
Lineage: Bacteria
Description: bacterial SSU rRNA
Rfam family: Bacterial small subunit ribosomal RNA
Source: RNAcentral
AACGAACGCUGGCGGCACGCCUAACACAUGCAAGUCGAGCGCUACCUUCGGGUGGAGCGGCGGACGGGUUAGUAACGCGUGGGAACAUACCCUUUACUAAGGAAUAGCCACUGGAAACGGUGAGUAAUACCUUAUACGCCCUUCGGGGGAAAGAUUUAUCGGUGAAGGAUUGGCCCGCGUUAGAUUAGAUAGUUGGUGGGGUAACGGCCUACCAAGUCUACGAUCUAUAGCUGGUUUGAGAGGAUGAUCAGCAACACUGGGACUGAGACACGGCCCAGACUCCUACGGGAGGCAGCAGUGGGGAAUCUUAGACAAUGGGCGCAAGCCUGAUCUAGCGAUGCCGCGUGAGUGACGAAGGUCUUAGGAUCGUAAAGCUCUUUCGCCAGGGAUGAUAAUGACAGUACCUGGUAAAGAAACCCCGGCUAACUCCGUGCCAGCAGCCGCGGUAAUACGGAGGGGGUUAGCGUUGUUCGGAAUUACUGGGCGUAAAGCGUACGUAGGCGGAUCAGAAAGUUGGGGGUGAAAUCCCAGGGCUCAACCCUGGAACUGCCUCCAAAACUAUUGGUCUAGAGUUCGAGAGAGGUAAGUGGAAUUCCGAGUGUAGAGGUGAAAUUCGUAGAUAUUCGGAGGAACACCAGUGGCGAAGGCGGCUUACUGGCUCGAUACUGACGCUGAGGC